AUGGACCAUUCCUCUAUCUCGUGAAUUGGAACGAUACAGGGAAGAUUAACAUGACCCAUGUGCAAGGUGUAUGCCAUAAAAAGAGAAAUGAUCCAAUUUUUA
Molecule: small nuclear RNA, 102 nt
Organism: Argentina anserina (silverweed cinquefoil)
Lineage: Eukaryota; Viridiplantae; Streptophyta; Magnoliopsida; Rosales; Rosaceae
Source: RefSeq, a predicted model, not a curated record